This 1626-nucleotide long non-coding RNA is filed under the name Hordeum vulgare. RNAcentral's name for it is "long non-coding RNA (HVUL_LNC003643)". Lineage: Eukaryota; Viridiplantae; Streptophyta; Magnoliopsida; Poales; Poaceae. The record is from RNAcentral.
UCGUAGAAGGAUUGGGGCUUCCUCUGCUCAUUCCAUUGAUGCAUAUCCCACAUACCAAUAGCAACCAGCAUAAGAUGAUUAAGCACAAUGGCUCGGUUGAACUAUAUAAUGUCAGCAAAAGGUGCAGAAAGAAAAACAAUUAAAGGAUGAAACCAAAAUCAUCUAUGUUUUCUGUUGCUUGAAGGAAGAGUACUCUCUCGGGCAAAAGACAUUCCAUUCUCACCAAAUCAAACUAUUUAAAAAGGGCCUUAGAUAUUAGCAAAAAUCUACUAUGAUUCUAAUUAUAUCUAAAUGUACUCAACAAAAGACCAAAAUAAAAAUAGAAUGAAGGUGUAAGUUUACCACAUCCAAGAAAUAAUUGGCUACAUUAUAGUACUUAAAUUGGAUCCUCUCGACAACAUAUACGCAUCAAUACAGAGGUAGCUUGAAACUGUAGCCAUUCAAAGCAGAGUGAUAUAAUGAAGUGAAAAUAAAGAUUAGUAUAAUUAGUGCAGGUUCAGGACUACGGUUCAGGACUAAGCUCACAGUUCUUUCAACAAAAAGGAAAGCAGGGAAGUGAGUUUGGUAGAGCUAGUGCACACAUCCUGAGUAUACAAAGCAAUGAUAUGACAACACAUAUCCUGCUCUUAUCCUCGGUAUACAAAGUAGUGAUAUGUGUCUAAGUAUAUAUUUUUCGCCAUGGUUUCCAGAAUAGGUGUGAAAAAAUAUAUGACAACACCCAUCCGGGGUAUACAAAGCAAUGAGACAACAAUAAGCGGGACACAAGGUAUAAAUACAACAAGCAACAAUAAGUAAUAGUAAGGAAGAAAGGACACAACACACGGAACACACACAAUUCAGUAAAAUACUGCAUAUGAAAUGAGCAAAAGUAAAGAAGGAUGAAGGAGGAAGACAUUACCUUGGCAAGACGAAAGUGAGCACACAAGGCGUCGGGCCAGCUAAACUGUAGGCGUCGGGCCAACUAAACUGCAGCAUGAUCUAGAACACGGAAAAAAAUAAAUUGCCGGAGAAGACAACUUGGUAGUAGAAGCAACUAAAUCAGAACACACACAAACUUUCCUUGUACUGAGUAAUGCGUACAAUAUCUUUUUAUUUAAGGAACAGCUAAAAGAGACUACAAGAUAAUCAACACCUGGAACUUCUUCAAUCAUAUCAUGCUUUAACAUCUAAUAGUUUUUGAAAUCAUUAUUGCAAAAUAGGACAUUUUUUUUGACUCGGUAGUAGAACACCCUAUUUGUGAACUGAGAUAAGAAAAUGGUACUGAUCGUAUAUUUAAUAUUUAAAACGGACCAGAUGUAUCCUGUACUGUCCAGAAGAAACGAAAAUACGAGUGUACCUAACAUUUGAUCACCCGACUCCUCCGACUAAGAGUGAAUCAGGUGGCAAGAAGGAAGUCAAUCAAUACAUUCAUUUGAAAAGCACUUUUUUCAAAAUUAAAUGGUCAUCUAUCAUCAAGCUCCAGAAGCUAAAAUAGAAACAGGAAGUGCCACGAGGUCAAGCACAAUAUACCUAGUGUAUUGUUCGAAAACCAAGAAUCCCUGUGAGGGCAAGAUGAAUCCCACAUACCUCUUGAGCACUAUCCAGAUGCAACCUAUACAAAUAGAAAAGCCAUAAUUCUUUUAAGAC